UGAUCUGCCUGCCUCAGCCUCCCAAAGUGCUGGGAUUACAGGCAUGAGCCACUGUGCCUGGCCAAGAAAGGCUCUUAAACAUAUAAAAAGUUGCAUAACUUCACAGUAAAAGAAAAGCAAAUGAAAACCACACUGAGUGACAGAUAAAUGCAGUAAGUUAAUCUUGAUUGGAUCCUGGACUGGAAGAGAUGCAAUAUUUUGGGUAAAUUAGGGGAAAUUUUAGUAUAGACUAAUAUAUUCAGGGGUCAGUGAUCUUUUUCUGAAAGAGCCAGAUAAUAAAUACUUUGGAUUUUGCAGACCUUAUGGUCUUUGAUUUAUCUACUGACCUGUUACAGCACAGAAGCAGAUGUAGAUAAUACCCAAGUAAUGAGUGUGGCUGUGUUUCAAUUAAACUUAAUAAAAACUGGCAGUGGGCCAUACUUGGUCAUUCAUGCAUUAGAUGAUAUUAGUAAACUGAUGUUAAAUAUCUUGUGUGUUCAGAGAUAGUGAGAUUGUGGUUAUAUAGGAGAAAACAUCUAAAGUAGGUAGGGGUAAAAUAUUGUGAUUGAUGUCUCCCU
This 557-nucleotide long non-coding RNA is filed under the name Homo sapiens (human). RNAcentral describes it as "non-protein coding lnc-NCBP2-AS2-1:4". The record is from RNAcentral. Lineage: Eukaryota; Metazoa; Chordata; Mammalia; Primates; Hominidae.